Long non-coding RNA from Solanum lycopersicum (tomato), 962 nucleotides. RefSeq lists it as uncharacterized. Lineage: Eukaryota; Viridiplantae; Streptophyta; Magnoliopsida; Solanales; Solanaceae. The record is from RefSeq and is a predicted model, not a curated record.
AACCCAUUAUAUUCCUUACCCGACCCAACACCUAAUACCCAACCCCAAACCCGUUUCCCUUCUUCUUCCCCAAAUACCCACACACAAAAUUUCCCAGAAAACAGACGUGAAAAAUGCGGAAGAACAGACCCGAAAACGGAAAGCCAUCCCACGCGAGCCGUUUCCUCCUGCGAUUCGUACGCUCGCAGGCCUGGCAGCAAGCCUUCGUCCUAGCGACAACGGGACGAUCGUUUCAUCUCGACCCUCCACUUUCCCUUUUUCGUGCAAUUCUUCAGCUUUUGGAGAGAUUUUUCGAAUUUGAAAUUCGAAAUGGGCCUGGAACCCCGCCCUCCUAACGAAAACCCUAGUUUCUCCUAUAUAAACCCCCACCUCUCUUCAAAACGGUUGGAGCUUUUGGUUGGAAAAAAUUUGGCUUCCCUUUAUGUUUGGUUGGACGUUUUUGGUUGGAAAAUUUUCGUUUGGAAAACUUGGGGUUGAGAGAAAUCUUGGAAAAUAUUUUGGUCCGCUGUGAGUUGAAACUACGAAAAGGGGAAGUAGCAUUUCCGAAACGGGGCUUGCCUUUCAGUUUUGAUCGUGAAGUCGUCGCUCUCCAGCUCGCAUCGGCUCUGUUCCGCUGCGCCAGAAAAAGGUACCAACCCUAAUUGAUGUGUUCAAGUAAAAUAUACAAACGGCUGCUUUAAGGUGCUACGUUAACUUAUUAAUUGAAAUGUGUGAUUUUGGUCUUUUAAAUUGAUAGAUACCAUAUAUUUAACAAAAUCUGUGGUUAAAAAAUAUACUAUAGAAAAGAAAAAAGAUAUACGUUUAAAAAAAUAAAAAAUAAAAUAUAUGAUAGAUGAGGUGGGCCUUUUUAUUACAUUCCAAACCUUAUUUUUUGCCUAUUUUUCUAAUGAUCUUUGUUCUUCCAGUAACUUUAUAUUAUUUCACUGUAAAAUCAAUUUAGAUCUUUUCUUUUUGUUCUUUAA